This 254-nucleotide ribosomal RNA is filed under the name uncultured bacterium. Its description in RNAcentral is "partial 16S ribosomal RNA". It matches the Rfam family "Bacterial small subunit ribosomal RNA", at positions 524 to 776 of the family's 1533-position model. The record is from RNAcentral.
UACGGGGGGAGCAAGCGUUGUUCGGAUUUACUGGGCGUAAAGGGCGCGUAGGCGGCCACCGCAAGUCAAUUGUGAAAUCUCCGGGCUUAACUCGGAAAGGUCAACUGAUACUGCGGGGCUAGAGUGCAGAAGGGGCAACUGGAAUUCUCGGUGUAGCGGUGAAAUGCGUAGAUAUCGAGAGGAACACCUGCGGCGAAGGCGGGUUGCUGGGCUGACACUGACGCUGAGGCGCGAAAGCGUGGGGAGCGAACAGG